RNAcentral lists this ribosomal RNA (460 nucleotides) under uncultured bacterium. RNAcentral's name for it is "partial 16S ribosomal RNA". It matches the Rfam family "Bacterial small subunit ribosomal RNA", at positions 338 to 795 of the family's 1533-position model. The record is from RNAcentral.
CCUACGGGUGGCAGCAGUGAGGAAUAUUGGUCAAUGGACGCAAGUCUGAACCAGCCAUGCCGCGUGCAGGAAGACGGCCCUAUGAGUUGUAAACUGCUUUUGUACGAGGGUAAACGCAGACACGCGUAUCUGUCUGAAAGUACCUUACGAAUAAGGAUCGGCUAACUCCGUGCCAGCAGCCGCGGUAAUACGGAGGAUUCAAGCGUUAUCCGGAUUUAUUGGGUUUAAAGGGUGCGUAGGCGGUCGGAUAAGUUAGAUGUGAAAUCCCGAGGCUCAACUUUGGAAUUGCCACUGAUACUGUUAGGCUAGAGAGUAGUUGCGGUAGGCGGAAUGUAUGGUGUAGCGGUGAAAUGCUUAGAGAUCACACAGAACACCGAUUGCGAAGGCAGCUUACCAAGCUACUUCUGACGUUGAGGCACGAAAGCGUGGGGAGCAAACAGGAUUAGAUACCCGAGUAGUC